This 424-nucleotide ribosomal RNA is filed under the name uncultured prokaryote. RNAcentral describes it as "bacterial SSU rRNA". It matches the Rfam family "Bacterial small subunit ribosomal RNA", at positions 355 to 796 of the family's 1533-position model. The record is from RNAcentral.
UGGGGAAUCUUGGACAAUGGGGGAAACCCUGAUCCAGCCAUUCCGCGUGGAUGAUGAAGGCCUUAGGGUUGUAAAAUCCUUUCAGCAGGGAAGAUAAUGACGGUACCUGCAGAAGAAGCCCCGGCUAACUCCGUGCCAGCAGCCGCGGUAAUACGGAGGGGGCUAGCGUUGUUCGGAAUUACUGGGCGUAAAGCGCGCGUAGGCGGAUCAGUCAGUCAGAGGUGAAAUCCCGGAGCUCAACUUCGGAACUGCCUUUGAUACUGCUGAUCUGGAGUCCAAGAGAGGUGUGUGGAAUUCCGAGUGUAGAGGUGAAAUUCGUAGAUAUUCGGAGGAACACCAGAGGCGAAGGCGACACACUGGCUUGGUACUGACGCUGAGGCGCGAAAGCGUGGGGAGCAAACAGGAUUAGAUACCCCCGUAGUCC